UACAACCAUAUCACCUUGAAACAUUAGUUCUCGUAUGAUCACGGAAGUUAAGCAACGUCGAGCCUUGUUAGUACCUAGAUGGGUGACCGCUUGUGAAUGC
This 100-nucleotide ribosomal RNA is filed under the name Acanthosepion pharaonis. The record is from RNAcentral. Lineage: Eukaryota; Metazoa; Mollusca; Cephalopoda; Sepiida; Sepiidae.